Molecule: ribosomal RNA, 253 nt
Filed under: uncultured bacterium
Lineage: Bacteria
Description: partial 16S ribosomal RNA
Rfam family: Bacterial small subunit ribosomal RNA
Source: RNAcentral
UACGUAGGGUGCGAGCGUUAAUCGGAAUUACUGGGCGUAAAGCGUGCGCAGGCGGUUGUGCAAGACAGGCGUGAAAUCCCCGGGCUUAACCUGGGAAUGGCGCUUGUGACUGCACGACUAGAGUACGGCAGAGGGGGGUGGAAUUCCACGUGUAGCAGUGAAAUGCGUAGAGAUGUGGAGGAACACCGAUGGCGAAGGCAGCCCCCUGGGCCAGUACUGACGCUCAUGCACGAAAGCGUGGGGAGCAAACAGG